This 71-nucleotide transfer RNA is filed under the name Sclerophasma paresisense. RNAcentral describes it as "tRNA-Thr". Lineage: Eukaryota; Metazoa; Arthropoda; Insecta; Mantophasmatodea; Mantophasmatidae. The record is from RNAcentral.
GCUAUAGUAAUUUAAUUAAAAUUUUGGUCUUGUAAACCAAGAAUAAAGAUGUCAACCAUCCUUCUAGAGCU